Molecule: ribosomal RNA, 253 nt
Filed under: uncultured bacterium
Lineage: Bacteria
Description: partial 16S ribosomal RNA
Rfam family: Bacterial small subunit ribosomal RNA
Source: RNAcentral
CGUGAGAUGUUGGGUUAAGUCCCGCAACGAGCGCAACCCCUAUUGUUAGUUGCCAUCAUUCAGUUGGGCACUCUAGCGAGACUGCGGUAAUAAACCAGGAGGAAGGUGGGGAUGACGUCAAAUCAUCAUGCCCCUUAUGACCUGGGCUACACACGUGCUACAAUGGUUGGUACAACGAGUUGCGAGUCGGUGACGGCAAGCUAAUCUCUUAAAGCCAAUCUCAGUUCGGAUUGUAGGCUGCAACUCGCCUACA